Molecule: ribosomal RNA, 335 nt
Filed under: Enterococcus casseliflavus
Lineage: Bacteria; Bacillati; Bacillota; Bacilli; Lactobacillales; Enterococcaceae
Description: bacterial SSU rRNA
Rfam family: Bacterial small subunit ribosomal RNA
Source: RNAcentral
UGGCGAACGGGUGAGUAACACGUGGGUAACCUGCCCAUCAGAAGGGGAUAACACUUGGAAACAGGUGCUAAUACCGUAUAACACUAUUUUCCGCAUGGAAGAAAGUUGAAAGGCGCUUUGCGUCACUGAUGGAUGGACCCGCGGUGCAUUAGCUAGUUGGUGAGGUAACGGCUCACCAAGGCAACGAUGCAUAGCCGACCUGAGAGGGUGAUCGGCCACACUGGGACUGAGACACGGCCCAGACUCUACGGGAGGCAGCAGUAGGGAAUCUUCGGCAAUGGACCGAAAAGUCUGACCGAGCAAACGCCGCGGUGAAGUGAAAGAAAGGUUUUUCG